Molecule: long non-coding RNA, 381 nt
Filed under: Coturnix japonica (Japanese quail)
Lineage: Eukaryota; Metazoa; Chordata; Aves; Galliformes; Phasianidae
Description: lncRNA (ENSCJPG00005018251.1)
Source: RNAcentral
AUAGCGCCAUUACUGCAUGCCACUAAUUGGCAUCUUUAAACAUUUUAGUAGCAGUUGAUUUUUAAUAUGUUUUCCUUUGGUCCUUUCUACAGCUCUUACUCAGAGAGGAAAUCUGAUCUACGAUAGCACGGAAACAUCAGCAGUGACCAUGGCAAGGGAAAUUCCUUAGGGAGCUGCCUGUAAGUCUGAUCAACACUUAAGAUGAAACGUGUUGCAUAUUCUUUGACAGGAUGUUACAUGCAGAGUUUAGCUAUAUAAGGCAAUUUCUGAGGCAAUAAGGGAAUAUUCAGGAACACAACUUUCUGCUGUGAACAGAUUUUGAAGCCAAGAAGUGUUCAUGAUAUGAUCAAGCUGGCUUGCAGAGAACAAGAACUCUCUUUU